This 23-nucleotide non-coding RNA is filed under the name Arabidopsis thaliana (thale cress). Lineage: Eukaryota; Viridiplantae; Streptophyta; Magnoliopsida; Brassicales; Brassicaceae. The record is from RNAcentral.
CGAAAAGGUAUCACAUGCCAAGU